UGCAGGACACAUGAACAUCGACAUUUCGAACGCACAUUGCGGUCCUCGGAUACUAUUCCUGGACCACGCCUGGCUGAGGGUCGUUCAUAAUACAAAACCAGACUGCUCGUGCGCGUCUCCGGGCGCGUGCGAGCGAAAUCCUGAGUGCUCGUCGAUGACUAUCGCUUUAAUGUGCGAUAGACGAUCGGUGUCGCUCGAAAUAAUGCGUUUUGUCUGUCGAACGUCCGAGUAUCGUAAACCUGAAUCUCGGUCGAAUGAUCGGUGGACGCGAGUCGCCCUCGAGGCUGCCUCGUCGUGUCCCGGAGCUCUAUUAAUUGGGCGGACCGACUUGUGCAGUCUCGUUAGACUGUCGCGCUAGCCGCAAUGAGAUUCGCUCAAAGGUUGGAUUACUCGCAAAAAGCAUAACUUUAACGACGACCUCAGAGCAGGCGAGACUA
Molecule: ribosomal RNA, 437 nt
Filed under: Signiphoridae sp. PITS236
Lineage: Eukaryota; Metazoa; Arthropoda; Insecta; Hymenoptera; Signiphoridae
Description: eukaryotic LSU rRNA
Rfam family: 5.8S ribosomal RNA (bases 1-83)
Source: RNAcentral